This 468-nucleotide ribosomal RNA is filed under the name uncultured bacterium. RNAcentral describes it as "partial 16S ribosomal RNA". It matches the Rfam family "Bacterial small subunit ribosomal RNA", at positions 29 to 507 of the family's 1533-position model. The record is from RNAcentral.
UACGCACGCUGGCGGCGUGCUUAACACAUGCAAGUCGAACGGAAAGGCCCUGCUUUUGUGGGGUGCUCGAGUGGCGAACGGGUGAGUAACACGUGAGUAACCUGCCCUUGACUUUGGGAUAACUUCAGGAAACUGGGGCUAAUACCGGAUAGGAGCUCCUGCUGCAUGGUGGGGGUUGGAAAGUUUCGGCGGUUGGGGAUGGACUCGCGGCUUAUCAGCUUGUUGGUGGGGUAGUGGCUUACCAAGGCUUUGACGGGUAGCCGGCCUGAGAGGGUGACCGGCCAGAUUGGGACUGAGAUACGGCCCAGACUCCUACGGGAGGCGGCAGUGGGGAAUAUUGCACAAUGGGCGGAAGCCUGAUGCAGCAACGCCGCGUGCGGGAUGACGGCCUUCGGUUUGUAAACCGCUUUCGCCUGUGACGAAGCGUGAGUGACGGUAAUGGGUAAAGAAGCACCGGCUAACUACGUG